RNAcentral lists this ribosomal RNA (500 nucleotides) under uncultured bacterium. RNAcentral's name for it is "partial 16S ribosomal RNA". It matches the Rfam family "Bacterial small subunit ribosomal RNA", at positions 28 to 507 of the family's 1533-position model. The record is from RNAcentral.
GACGAACGCUGGCGGCGUGCUUAACACAUGCAAGUCGAACGGGUCUGCCCUGUUUUUUGCGGGGUGGGUCAGUGGCGAACGGGUGAGUAACACGUGAGUAACCUGCCCCUCACUUCUGGAUAACCGCUUGAAAGGGUGGCUAAUACGGGGUGUUCUGGCUGUGCCGCAUGGUGUGGCUGGGAAAGAUUCACUUUUGUGGUGUUUUGGUGGGGGAUGGGCUCGCGGCCUAUCAGCUUGUUGGUGGGGUGAUGGCCUGCCAAGGCUUUGACGGGUAGCCGGCCUGGGAGGGUAGGCGGUCACACUGGGUCUGAGGUACGGCCCGGACUCCGGCGGGAGGCAGCAGUGGGGGGUAUUGCACAAUGGGCAGGAGCCUGAUGCAGCGACGUCGCGUGAGGGAUGGAGGCCUGCGGGUUGUGAACCUCUUUCGCCGGUGAAGAAGGUCCUGCUCUUUGUGGUGGGGUUGACGGUAGCCGGGUAAUGAAGCGCCGGCUAACUACGUG